AUUGAACGCUGGCGGCAGGCCUAACACAUGCAAGUCGAGCGGAGCGGCGGACGGGUGAGUAAUGCCUGGGAAUCUGCCUGGUAGUGGGGGAUAACGUCCGGAAACGGGCGCUAAUACCGCAUACUAUCAGAUGAGCCUAGGGCGGAUUAGCUAGUUGGGUGGGUAAAGGCCUACAAAGGCGACGAUCCGUAACUGGUCUGAGAGGAUGAUCAGGCACAACGGAACUGAGGCACGGUCCAGACUCCGACGGGAGGCAGCAGUGGGGAAGAUUGGAAAAGUGGCGAAAGCCUGAUCCAGCCAGGCCGCGGGUGUGAAGAAGGUCUUCGGAUUUUAAAGCACUUUAAGUUGGGAGGCGUUACCAACAGAAUAAGCACCGGCUAACUUCGUGCCAGCCGCCGCGGUAAUAC
RNAcentral lists this ribosomal RNA (407 nucleotides) under uncultured bacterium. Its description in RNAcentral is "partial 16S ribosomal RNA". It matches the Rfam family "Bacterial small subunit ribosomal RNA", at positions 29 to 526 of the family's 1533-position model. The record is from RNAcentral.